This 459-nucleotide ribosomal RNA is filed under the name uncultured bacterium. RNAcentral describes it as "partial 16S ribosomal RNA". It matches the Rfam family "Bacterial small subunit ribosomal RNA", at positions 338 to 795 of the family's 1533-position model. The record is from RNAcentral.
CCUACGGGAGGCAGCAGUGAGGAAUAUUGGUCAAUGGCCGGAAGGCUGAACCAGCCAAGCCGCGUGAAGGACGAAGGUGCCAAGUAUUGUAAACCUCUUUUGUCAAGGGACAAAAUCUGGCUCGAGUGCCUGACUGAGGGUACCUGAAGAAAAAGCAUCGGCUAACUCCGUGCCAGCAGCCGCGGUAAUACGGAGGAUGCGAGCGUUAUCCGGAUUUAUUGGGUUUAACGGUUGAGUAGGCGGUCUGUUAAGUCAGUGGUAAAAGACCGGGGCUCAACCCCGGCGAGCCGUUGAAACUGGCUGUCUUGAGAUGUAGAGAGGUAUGCGGAAUGCGCGGUGUAGCGGUGAAAUGCUUAGAUAUUGCGCAGAACUCCGAUUGCGAAGGCAGCAUACCGGCGGCGAACUGACGCUGAGGCACGAAAGCGUGGGUAUCGAACAGGAUUAGAUACCCUGGUAGUC